AUUGAACGCUGGCGGCAUGCCUUACACAUGCAAGUCGAACGGUAACAGGUCUUCGGAUGCUGACGAGUGGCGAACGGGUGAGUAAUACAUCGGAACGUGCCCGAUCGUGGGGGAUAACGGAGCGAAAGCUUUGCUAAUACCGCAUACGAUCCACGGAUGAAAGCAGGGGACCGCAAGGCCUUGCGCGGACGGAGCGGCCG
This 200-nucleotide ribosomal RNA is filed under the name uncultured bacterium. RNAcentral describes it as "partial 16S ribosomal RNA". It matches the Rfam family "Bacterial small subunit ribosomal RNA", at positions 30 to 232 of the family's 1533-position model. The record is from RNAcentral.